This 2442-nucleotide long non-coding RNA is filed under the name Homo sapiens (human). Its description in RNAcentral is "non-protein coding TNFRSF14-AS1:21". The record is from RNAcentral. Lineage: Eukaryota; Metazoa; Chordata; Mammalia; Primates; Hominidae.
CCGGGGGCCCCAGGAGGGCAUGGGGGCUCCAGGGUGCAGGGACAGCACGUUCCCUCACCAACUCCCCAAGAACGCCCAACCUCCAAGAGCAGACACAGCGCCUACACCUGCCGGUACGGGGCUCCAACCCCACUCUCUCAGAUACGUCCUCCAGAGUCGUCUCAUCCACCCCACCCUGGGGAGGAGGGAAACUGAGGCAUGGCAAGAGACAAGACUAACACAGGCAUCAGUGAGACUCAGCCCCUCCUGCCCCUUCCUCCAUGCCCCUCCUACCCCGACUUCAGCUCCCACACCAAGGCCCCAAGCCUGACAUAGGGCCCCAGGUGCCAGGCCUCAAGGGGGCUGAAGGGAGCCCAUCUGCCCCACCGAGGGCACAGACAGUGCCAGGUCUUUGCUGAAAUGUCACCUCUUCCUUGAGGCCUUCUCUGAUUGCUGAGUAAGCCCUGUCCCCGCUCCCUGCUCCCCGUAUCCGCCCGCCUCGGCCCUCCGUCCCUUUUCUCCCUUCUCUGUGGCCUGCCCGCUCUCACAGAAUGCAGACUCCAGGGGUCCAGGGUGUUACCUCCCGGGCAGCAGGAGGAAAUGUCCUGGGCUCCCCACCCAGCGCUCAGCGCCCCCCGCUAAGUACAGCACUCACUCCUUCAUCCAUUCAGCGUGGGCUCUCCCGGCACCAGCACCGCCAGGCCCUGUGCAGGACCCCAGGGUCAUCAGGAAGGAAAUGAGGCAGCCCAAGGAGGCGGGAGACGGGGCCCUACCCAGCACCCAGCCAUCUGCAUUGACACGGCUGCCCGCAGGAUAUCACUGCCCCCAUCCCGGGGCCCACCAUUACCAGCAGGGAGAGGGAGGCAGGUUCAGCAGGGACAGAGCUCAGGGGGAAGGCACCUCCCGUCCUGGUUCAAUACAUGGACCCCUGACCCUGGGAAAGGGACUGAGCCAGGGGAGGCCUCAGGUCACUGCACCAUGAAGUUGUGGGGAGCUGCGGGGGCCUCUGGGCUCCGAGCUGGGCAGGCACAGCGUGGGGACCACGUGCCGAGGGGAAGAAGCGUGCCAGGGUGGACGUCUCAGUGCACACGCAGGAACAUGCAACGGCUGAGCCAGCCCAGAGAGGCAGCGGAGCGUGUGCGGGGCGGCCGGCGGAGGAGCAGCAGGAUCCCAGGCGGGAGCGCACGGCCUUUUCGGAGGCAGGUUCCAGGACAAUACUAAGCGUUUACAUCAUUGCACUAUUUGAUCCAGGAGGUCCCACUGUGGCGUUUCAUCGAUAAACGCACAUGCGAGGUGGAGGGUGGCUGGUGUGGAAUGUGCCCGGCAGCCUUCAUAGCAAAGGAGAAUUCUAGAACCAACCGAAGUGCCCCUCUGAAGGGAGCUGGUCCCGUCCGUUCCAGCCGCCGUGGAGUAACACAGCCAGCAGUUUCCCUCCUGCCACGAAAGCUCGAGACUGAAACUCAGGAUGAACUGUUUUCAGCCCGGGUCACCCCAGCCCUGGGGUGGAGGCCCAUUGAGGAUGGCCGAGCAGGGGCGGGCAUCCAGGCAGGUCCAGCAGUCCUGGCGGGCUGAGGAGAAGGAGGAAAGGCUGGGCUGGACCUGCUCUGAGAGGCUUCAGAACCAGCCACACGAAGACCAAAGUGAAGAGCAAGGAGCUGAACUCCACGCAGAACACAGCGCAGCGUCCUUUAAAGGAAGGCCAAAAACAACCCAACAAAAAUGCCAGGUGAUCAAAGCGGUCACAGCACAAUGUCCACAUCCAACGAGAAAUUGCUACUACGUCCAGACGCAGGGAAAGGUGGCCGUGGGAACGUGAGUCAGCAGCAACAGGCCCAGAAGGGCAGCCACGGUGGACUUGUCAGACGUGGACCCUGAAAUGACAAUCACAGCAUGAUUUCAGGCAGGAGCCUGAAAUGGUACAGCUUUGGACAUCGGUUUGGCAAAUUCUUUUAGAGAGAAACACACACCUUCCCUAGGACCCAGCAACUCCACUCCUAAUAACCAAGUGAAAUGGAAGGAGUUGUCCUCAGCAAAACGUGUGUGCGGAAGUUCACAGUCACUUUCUCGGUGAUAACCAAGAGCUGGAAACCACUGCAACACCCACCAGCAGGUGAACGGAUUAACACACUGGGCUAGGGCCACACAAUGAGAUGCUCCGUGGCAACACAAAAUGAACCGUGGACACACACUGCACGGCGGAUGAAUAUGCAGACAUCAGGCCACGUGAAGGGAGCCAGGCCCCGAGGCGCCACGCUUUGUGAUUCAGGAAAGAAAGCACGCAGCCAAAGAGCGCAAAGAGGCUCAGAGGAGGCCCGGGUGCCCUGGAGAGACGCUGCGUCCUGACGACACAGCAUCCCUGUCCCGCAGCGGAGAUUUCCCAGAUGAAGGAUUCCCCGGCGGGAGACAGGGCCCUGCACACAGGUCCUCUGCCACGCUGCUCACCAUGCCUGUGUGUUAUCUCCC